GACGAACGCUGGCGGCGUGCUUAACACAUGCAAGUCGAACGGAAAGGCCCUGCUUUUGUGGGGUGCUCGAGUGGCGAACGGGUGAGUAACACGUGAGUAACCUGCCCUUGACUUUGGGAUAACUUCAGGAAACUGGGGCUAAUACCGUAUAGGAGCUCCUGCUGCAUGGUGGGGGUGGGAAAGUUUCGGCGGUUGGGGAUGGACUCGCGGCUUAUCAGCUUGUUGGUGGGGUAGUGGCUUACCAAGGCUUUGACGGGUAGCCGGCCUGAGAGGGUGACCGGCCACAUUGGGCCUGAGAUACGGCCCAGACUCCUACGGGAGGCAGCAGUGGGGAAUAUUGCACAAUGGGCGGAAGCCUGAUGCAGCAACGCCGCGUGCGGGAUGCCGGCCUUCGGGUUGUAACCCGCUUUCGCCUGUGACGAAGCGUGAGUGACGGUAAUGGGUAAAGAAGCACCGGCUAACUACGUG
RNAcentral lists this ribosomal RNA (468 nucleotides) under uncultured bacterium. RNAcentral describes it as "partial 16S ribosomal RNA". It matches the Rfam family "Bacterial small subunit ribosomal RNA", at positions 28 to 507 of the family's 1533-position model. The record is from RNAcentral.